This 150-nucleotide ribosomal RNA is filed under the name uncultured Pseudomonas sp. RNAcentral's name for it is "partial 16S ribosomal RNA". It matches the Rfam family "Bacterial small subunit ribosomal RNA", at positions 574 to 723 of the family's 1533-position model. The record is from RNAcentral. Lineage: Bacteria; Pseudomonadati; Pseudomonadota; Gammaproteobacteria; Pseudomonadales; Pseudomonadaceae.
GGUGGUUUGUUAAGUUGAAUGUGAAAUCCCCGGGCUCAACCUGGGAACUGCAUCCAAAACUGGCAAGCUAGAGUAGGGCAGAGGGUGGUGGAAUUUCCUGUGUAGCGGUGAAAUGCGUAGAUAUAGGAAGGAACACCAGUGGCGAAGGCG